AUUGGACGUUGGUCAACAAGAACAAGGAUAUCGGUGCUUUGCAAAAAUAUAGCAGAUAAGCUUAGCUGUAGAACAUUUGAAUUGUUAUGAGAACUAGUAAGAUGAUAUUUUUAUUUUACUAGCCUUGUUCAGGUGCAUAUAAAUAUGUUUUUUAAACAAAACUUUUCCUUUAAUUUCACAAUACAGCGACAGAUUGCAAAAUAAUAGGGUCCCUGACAUUUAUCUUUCCUAGUGCAUACAUACGUAAACACGUGCUGUCUCUAUUUCAGACUAGGACAAUGCAUUUGAAACGUUAGGAGGACUGGUCCAUUCAUCUCAGAAAGGCACAAUACAAGCAAAGUAAAUCAGUAAUAAAAAUUUUACUGGAACUUUUGUUAACACAGAAUUUCUGUUUAAAGUGUAAAGCUACCGUCUUGCACAGAAAGAUGGACAGAACCAUUUUUAUCAAGACUUAUAUGGACACAAUAAAUAUGGAGUUUUACAUACAAGGUCUGUACACAUAAUCUGCCCCACAUCCAUUUAAAAAAUGACAUUUAACAGUGCAACAUAUACAUGUAGGUUUCAUAAUUUAAUCAUAUUACUCAACAUGAGAUAUUUACCUACGAAACACAAGCAACUACCUUGGUUAUGUACAUAUAUAAUAUCUUUAUAUGUGUAUAUAUAUAUAUA
Non-coding RNA from Pelobates cultripes (western spadefoot toad), 669 nucleotides. The record is from the annotation of a GenBank genome assembly. NCBI's taxonomy places the organism in Eukaryota, Metazoa, Chordata, Amphibia, Anura, Pelobatidae.